UACGGGGGGAGCAAGCGUUGUUCGGAUUUACUGGGCGUAAAGGGCGCGUAGGCGGUGUAACAAGUCACUUGUGAAAUCUCCGGGCUUAACCCGGAGCGGCCAAGUGAUACUGUUGUGCUAGAGUGCGGAAGGGGCUACUGGAAUUCUCGGUGUAGCGGUGAAAUGCGUAGAUAUCGAGAGGAACACCUGCGGCGAAGGCGGGUAGCUGGGCCGACACUGACGCUGAGGCGCGAAAGCCAGGGGAGCGAACGGG
This 253-nucleotide ribosomal RNA is filed under the name uncultured bacterium. RNAcentral describes it as "partial 16S ribosomal RNA". It matches the Rfam family "Bacterial small subunit ribosomal RNA", at positions 524 to 776 of the family's 1533-position model. The record is from RNAcentral.